Molecule: ribosomal RNA, 253 nt
Filed under: uncultured bacterium
Lineage: Bacteria
Description: partial 16S ribosomal RNA
Rfam family: Bacterial small subunit ribosomal RNA
Source: RNAcentral
UACAGAGGGUGCGAGCGUUAAUCGGAAUUACUGGGUGUAAAGGGUGCGUAGGCGGAUAAUUAAGUCAGGUGUGAAAAACCCAGGCUCAACUUGGGUCUUGCGCUUGAAACUGAUUUUCUUGAGGCUAGUAGAGGAUAACGGAAUUUCCGGUGUAGCGGUGGAAUGCGUAGAUAUCGGAAGGAACACCAGUGGCGAAGGCGGUUAUCUGGACUAGUACUGACGCUGAGGCACGAAAGCAUGGGGAGCAAACAGG